ACUCCUACGGGAGGCAGCAGUGGGGAAUAUUGCACAAUGGGCGCAAGCCUGAUGCAGCCAUGCCGCGUGUAUGAAGAAGGCCUUCGGGUUGUAAAGUACUUUCAGCAGUGAGGAAGGCAGGUACGUUAAUAGCGUGCUUGUUUGACGUUAGCUGCAGAAGAAGCACCGGCUAACUCCGUGCCAGCAGCCGCGGUAAUACGGAGGGUGCGAGCGUUAAUCGGAAUUACUGGGCGUAAAGCGCAUGCAGGUGGUUUGUUAAGUCAGAUGUGAAAGCCCGGGGCUCAACCUCGGAAUUGCAUUUGAAACUGGCAGACUAGAGUACUGUAGAGGGGGUAGAAUUUCAGGUGUAGCGGUGAAAUGCGUAGAGAUCUGAAGGAAUACCGGUGGCGAAGGCGGCCCCCUGGACAGAUACUGACACUCAGAUGCGAAAGCGUGGGGAGCAAACAGGAUUAGAUACCCUGGUAGGAUAGAG
This 472-nucleotide ribosomal RNA is filed under the name uncultured bacterium. Its description in RNAcentral is "bacterial SSU rRNA". It matches the Rfam family "Bacterial small subunit ribosomal RNA", at positions 335 to 799 of the family's 1533-position model. The record is from RNAcentral.